UACAGAGGGGGCUAGCGUUGUUCGGAAUUACUGGGCGUAAAGGGCGCGUAGGCGGCCCGCUAAGUCGAACGUGAAAUCCCCGGGCUCAACCCGGGAACUGCGUCCGAUACUGGCAGGCUUGAAUCCGGGAGAGGGAUGUGGAAUUCCAGGUGUAGCGGUGAAAUGCGUAGAUAUCUGGAGGAACACCGGUGGCGAAGGCGGCAUCCUGGACCGGCAUUGACGCUGAGGCGCGAAAGCCAGGGGAGCAAACGGG
Molecule: ribosomal RNA, 253 nt
Filed under: uncultured bacterium
Lineage: Bacteria
Description: partial 16S ribosomal RNA
Rfam family: Bacterial small subunit ribosomal RNA
Source: RNAcentral